UGGCGGCGUGCCUAAUACAUGCAAGUUGAGCGCUGAAGGUUGGUACUUGUACCAACUGGAUGAGCAGCGAACGGGUGAGUAACGCGUGGGGAAUCUGCCUUUGAGCGGGGGACAACAUUUGGAAACGAAUGCUAAUACCGCAUAAAAACUUUAAACACAAGUUUUAAGUUUGAAAGAUGCAAUUGCAUCACUCAAAGAUGAUCCCGCGUUGUAUUAGCUAGUUGGUGAGGUAAAGGCUCACCAAGGCGAUGAUACAUAGCCGACCUGAGAGGGUGAUCGGCCACAUUGGGACUGAGACACGGCCCAAACUCCUACGGGAGGCAGCAGUAGGGAAUCUUCGGCAAUGGACGAAAGUCUGACCGAGCAACGCCGCGUGAGUGAAGAAGGUUUUCGGAUCGUAAAACUCUGUUGGUAGAGAAGAACGUUGGUGAGAGUGGAAAGCUCAUCAAGUGACGGUAACUACCCAGAAA
RNAcentral lists this ribosomal RNA (470 nucleotides) under Lactococcus lactis subsp. lactis. Its description in RNAcentral is "bacterial SSU rRNA". It matches the Rfam family "Bacterial small subunit ribosomal RNA", at positions 37 to 489 of the family's 1533-position model. Lineage: Bacteria; Bacillati; Bacillota; Bacilli; Lactobacillales; Streptococcaceae. The record is from RNAcentral.